Molecule: long non-coding RNA, 1154 nt
Organism: Ornithorhynchus anatinus (platypus)
Lineage: Eukaryota; Metazoa; Chordata; Mammalia; Monotremata; Ornithorhynchidae
Exons: 6
Source: RefSeq, a predicted model, not a curated record
ACCGAAAACAUUUCUGUUUCAAACUGUGCCUUGACCACUGAAGUUAUUUGUUUAGCUCUGCUGUCCGUAGCCAAAUGGAGUUAUUCAAGUAGCACCGAUCAACGGUCUAUAAAUAGCCACUCUCCUGGGCUAGAAACUGUUCCUGCAGGAGGAGGAAAGAGUACCGACUGGCUGCUCUCGUCCUGGCACGCUGUGUCGCGGCCCAGCGUGCGCAUUUGGAAAUGGUUAGAGGUGCUGGGAGAAUUGACUAACAUCUGGAUAAGGCCCAUCUGCACCUCUGCGUUCCAGAGAGAUCACCUCCAACCGAGAGUCAAAUGGCCACGGAGAUCAAGUCACACCAGGAGACAGUCCCUUCAAGAAUUCUGGCCUUCGGAAUGAACAGAACCCUCUGGGCAAACCCCAGGUUACAGCCACCCAACGAUACAUGCAACCCAGGGACACAGCUGCCCGAAUUUUUGGAAACCUUACUUCAGUUUACAGCCUCCCUAUGCUACAACCCAUAGCCCAGCCAAGCGCUACCAGGUAGGUAAAGGAAUCUGACAAGAGCAGUGAGUGGAGUUCUACCUUCUUAAAGCCAUUCUGAAAACACUACGAGCAUCGGAGCCUCUGGUGUCUGAAGAAUAAAAAAUGGCUAUGGGCAACGAGUGGCAAAAACUAAAGAAAGUGAAAUGGAGCUGAAUACUGAAAACAGCUGAACAAGAAAAUGAAAAGGCAAGAGUAUAUCAGGUUUUGCUGAUUCGGGAGGGAUAGCAGGAGAGUGACUUCCGAGGAGAAACUGAGGAAAAGACUCAGGUGAUGUAAGUGACGCUUCAAGCCACAAUGAAGCCUAGUUUCCACCUCUUUUGGACAGAACUAAGGAGAAGGGAUUAGUAAUCAUCUGCACACCUGUCCCCGACUGUAAAAACCUCACUGAAGCUUUACCAGCUUAAUAACUACAAGGUAAUCAGGACAAAAGCGUGAUGAUAAUCACAGUUGAACAAUCUGACAAUCUGGUCAUUUUCUGAAUAGGCAUUUCGAGAUACAAAAACAGAACAAGAGCUUUUCAGCAUCACCGCACAUGAAAUUCCAACCAGGCUAGUCCGCAGGUAAUCUUCGAGGUGGAAAUUUUGUUAUUACCAACCUUGCGUCUUUUAUCACAUAAUUCCCCUUACCUG